CUGUUCGGAUCCUGGAUAACAU
This 22-nucleotide non-coding RNA is filed under the name Arabidopsis thaliana (thale cress). Lineage: Eukaryota; Viridiplantae; Streptophyta; Magnoliopsida; Brassicales; Brassicaceae. The record is from RNAcentral.